Molecule: long non-coding RNA, 542 nt
Organism: Pseudopipra pipra
Lineage: Eukaryota; Metazoa; Chordata; Aves; Passeriformes; Pipridae
Exons: 3
Source: RefSeq, a predicted model, not a curated record
ACACCUGCCGGGGAGCGGCUUCGUUACCGGCGGGGCCCGGCAGCGAUGUCCGAGAGCCCCGCAGCCGCCGCCACGCCGGGAGCAGCGCCCAGCGGUGGAGCUCCCAAGGGCUCUUACUGACACUGCAGCUGUGUUUGCCCACUGCCAGGAAGCUCGAGGGCUCCUUCCUUGCUCACUCCAUAGGCAGGGACCCAGCCAGGACCUCGAGGGGAGCACGGUCCUGCCCCGUCCCUUCAGAGCAUCCUCUGCCCUGUCUGGCCCUGGCGCUGAUCCAGAAAUCACCAAGUCUCUGCUUUGGUGCUGAGCCCCCCACGUCACAGCAGCCGCCACAUAGCAGGCAGGGCCCGGAGAAGGGAAUCUGCUGCCCAGCAGCGCCGCUCCAGGGAGGUAGGGUGGACGGUGCCCCUCCCCAUGGCGGCUGGGCCCCCACGUAACGCCAGCCAAACUGGACACCGUGGUCCCACGAGAGAAUCCCCCCGGCCAGAGCCCACCCGCCUGCCACCUCCGGCCCAGCCCAGACUCAUCUGUCACUGCCUGUCCCC